CUGGCAGCAGGGGGGAGCGGAGCGGAGCCCGGGGCCUCGCUGGCAGCAGGGGGGAGCGGAGCCCAGGGCCUCGCCGGCAGCAGGGGGGGGCGGAGCCGAGCCCGGGGCCUCGCCGGCCGGAGGUGGGAGCGGAGCCUGGGGGCUCGACCUGUUGCACUCGCCCAGCUCCGGCACCGGUGAACCUGAUUCCAAACGUAGGUGACUCGGAUGUCUGUUUUUUUUUUAAAAUAAUGGGUGCAGGUGUCGGUGAACCUGAUUUCCCCGUCCUCUGCGAUGGAUAGCUGUGAAAUUUGGUGAUUUUUAAUGUGUGCAGGUGUCGGUGAACCUGAUUUCCCUGUCCUCUGCGAUGGAUAGCUGUGAAAUUUGGUGAUUUUUAAUGUGUGCAGGCCAUUGCAAGGUUGAAGCUCUUACCAGAAGCUAGAAUGUUGGUGUCCCUACUGGGGUGAGAUAGCUGAGGUCGUCAGCGAGAUGCCCGUCCUCCAGAAGUGAUUACUUCCCCAACACGACGCACUGUCAGCCGCACCUGAAGCAGUGUAGCUGGAUUGAAUGGACGACUUCUGCUACAGCCACGAAUAAGUCCGAAGAAGGGUGCUGACAUCAUCUAUCCACGUUCUCCAGAGCUGCUGCCUGACCCGCUGAGUUACUCCAGCACUUUGUGUCUUUUGAUACUGUUUUACUAGACAGGUGGAGGAAAUAAUAUCCCGAUGUGGCCACUGCAUCAGUGACAUUACCUCAAAUCUUGUGAAGACUGCAGAUCUAAAUCGAUCUUUGUCUUGCUGGUUAGGCUUAUUUUCACUCUAGGCCCCUGUCCAUUGGGGUGGAUUAAGGCUGCACUGUAUUGGAGAGGGUGUUGAUUCCCACCCUAGAUGGCUUUUACCUGAUCCAGUUACCUGUAAUCCAAAGCGCAUUCAUGCUACCAUGGUAGAAGCCAGCCUUGCAGUGUCAAGAGCCAUGGAAAUGGGUCCUUAGACCCAAUCUGCCCAUACCGACCAAGAUGUCCCAUCUAAGCUACUCAUAAAUGUAUUUUUAAAUGUUAUAGUACUUUCCUCAACUACCUCCCCUGAGAGCUUGUUCCAUAUACCCGCCAUCCGCUGUGGAAAAGUUACCCCUUGGAUUCCUAUUAAAUCUUUCCCCACUCAACUUAAACUUAUGCCCUAUAGUUCUUGACUCUGGGUAAAAGACUGCGCAUCUACUCUGUCCUGUCUUAUCUGCGGGUGCUGAUACAAAUUCCAGUGGCUUGGUGCAAAUUAUGUGUAAUAGCAAAGGCAGGUUGGCAACUGGGCUGUGGGAGCACUGGGUCUGUGCAUGGCAGCUGACAUUACCAAUUGGUAGGCUAAAUUGAUGCUACUUUAAACUGAUGCAAGUUGGCAUACGCCAGCUAUUCAAGGCUGUGCAACUUGAAUUGUACCAAAGCUGUGCCUUUGUGCUUUCUUUUUCAGAUGUGACAAUAAAAUAUGAAAUUACAGACAUGUUGCUUUCUAUGAUCUGAAGAGGUUUAAAUAAACUGUAAAUGAUGAUAAAUAUUAAAUUACAAUUAAAAUAGCUGAAAUAAA
This is a long non-coding RNA of Amblyraja radiata (thorny skate), 1553 nucleotides long. RefSeq lists it as uncharacterized. The record is from RefSeq and is a predicted model, not a curated record. The transcript has 6 exons. NCBI's taxonomy places the organism in Eukaryota, Metazoa, Chordata, Chondrichthyes, Rajiformes, Rajidae.